UCCCAGCUCAGUUAGUAAAGAAUCUGCCUGCAAUGCAGGAGAUCCUGGUUCGAUUCCUGGGUUGGGAA
This 68-nucleotide transfer RNA is filed under the name Bos taurus (domestic cattle). It matches the Rfam family "tRNA". From Rfam's summary of the family: Transfer RNA (tRNA) molecules are approximately 80 nucleotides in length. Their secondary structure includes four short double-helical elements and three loops (D, anti-codon, and T loops). Lineage: Eukaryota; Metazoa; Chordata; Mammalia; Artiodactyla; Bovidae. RNAcentral also lists the same sequence under 2 other names. The record is from Rfam by way of RNAcentral.